GGGCCCGCACAAGCGGUGGAGUAUGUGGUUUAAUUCGAUGCAACGCGAAGAAGCCUUACCAGGGUUUGACAUCCUGCGAAUUCUGGUAAGCAGAGGCAUCGGAGCCUGCGGAGAUGUAGCAGUGCUGACGGUAUGGGCUGCAUCGGCUGCAUGCCGUUCAGGCUUCGGUUGCUGUCGAUGGAGAUUGGUUUGGGGGUUUAAAGGUCCCCGCAACGAGCGCAACCCACGUCUUUAGUUGCCAGCAUUAGUUGGGCCACUCUAGAGAGACCGCCGGUGAUAAACCGGAGAAGGUGUGGAUGACGUCAAGUCAUCAUGCCCCUUACAUCUGGGCUACACACGUACUACAAAUGCUACGGACAAAGGGCUAGCAAGUUCGCGAGGACAAGCAAAUCCCAAUAAACGUGGCUC
This 408-nucleotide ribosomal RNA is filed under the name uncultured bacterium. RNAcentral's name for it is "bacterial SSU rRNA". It matches the Rfam family "Bacterial small subunit ribosomal RNA", at positions 917 to 1289 of the family's 1533-position model. The record is from RNAcentral.